RNAcentral lists this ribosomal RNA (400 nucleotides) under uncultured archaeon. Its description in RNAcentral is "bacterial SSU rRNA". It matches the Rfam family "Archaeal small subunit ribosomal RNA", at positions 93 to 473 of the family's 1478-position model. The record is from RNAcentral.
AAAACACAUAGCUAACAGGCCAACGGACUCCGACGCAACCCCCGGGAACCUGGGAAUAAUCCGUGAUGAGUGAGAACUCCUGGAAUCCAUUCUCCCCGAAAGGGCCUAUACACCACGCUUAUAGGCGUCGCCCAAGGAAGGGGCCGCGGCCGAUCAGGCUGUUGGUGAGGUAACGGCUCACCAAACAAUCAACCGGUACGGGCCGUAAGAGCGGGAGCCCGGAGAUGGGCACUGAGAUAAGGGCCCAGGCCCUACGGGGCGCAGCAGUCGCGAAAACUCCGCAAUACACGAAAGUGUGACGGGGCUAUCCCGAGUGCCGUCCGCUGAGGAUGGCUUUUCCCUAGUGUAUAAAGCUGGGGGAAUAAGGAGAGGGCAAGACUGGUGUCAGCCACCGCGGUAA